GAUGAAGAACGUAGCGAAAUGCGAUAAGUAGUGUGAAUUGCAGAAUUCAGUGAAUCAUCGAAUCUUUGAACGCACAUUGCGCCCUUUGGUAUUCCUUAUGGCAUGCCUGUUCGAGCGUCAUUUAAACCUUCAAGCUCAGCUUGGUGUUGGGUGACUGUCCGCUUCACCGCGGACUCGCCUCAAAAUUAUUGGCGGCCGGUACAUUGGCUUCGAGCGCAGCAGAAACGCGAACUCGGGCCCGUCGUAUUGGCUCCCAGAAGCUAUCUUCACAAUUUUGACCUCGGAUCAGGUAGGGAUACCCGCUGAACUUAAGCAUAUCAAUAAGCGGAGGA
RNAcentral lists this unclassified non-coding RNA (332 nucleotides) under soil metagenome. RNAcentral's name for it is "partial contains 5.8S ribosomal RNA, internal transcribed spacer 2, and large subunit ribosomal RNA". The stretch from base 1 to 120 matches the Rfam family "5.8S ribosomal RNA", at positions 35 to 154 of the family's 154-position model. The record is from RNAcentral.